RNAcentral lists this ribosomal RNA (468 nucleotides) under uncultured bacterium. Its description in RNAcentral is "partial 16S ribosomal RNA". It matches the Rfam family "Bacterial small subunit ribosomal RNA", at positions 28 to 507 of the family's 1533-position model. The record is from RNAcentral.
GACGAACGCUGGCGGCGUGCUUAACGCAUGCAAGUCGAACGGAAAGGCCCUGCUUUUGUGGGGUGCUCGAGUGGCGAACGGGUGAGUAACACGUGAGUAACCUGCCCUUGACUUUGGGAUAACUUCAGGAAACUGGGGCUAAUACCGGAUAGGAGCUCCUGCUGCAUGGUGGGGGUUGGAAAGUUUCGGCGGUUGGGGAUGGACUCGCGGCUUAUCAGCUUGUUGGUGGGGUAGUGGCUUACCAAGGCUUUGACGGGUAGCCGGCCUGAGAGGGUGACCGGCCACAUUGGGACUGAGAUACGGCCCAGACUCCUACGGGAGGCAGCAGUGGGGAAUAUUGCACAAUGGGCGGAAGCCUGAUGCAGCAACGCCGCGUGCGGGAUGACGGCCUUCGGGUUGUAAACCGCUUUCGCCUGUGACGAAGCGUGAGCGACGGUAAUGGGUAAAGAAGCACCGGCUAACUACGUG